Molecule: ribosomal RNA, 450 nt
Filed under: uncultured bacterium
Lineage: Bacteria
Description: partial 16S ribosomal RNA
Rfam family: Bacterial small subunit ribosomal RNA
Source: RNAcentral
GUGGGGAAUUUUGGACAAUGGGCGCAAGCCUGAUUCAGCCAUUCCGCGUGCAGGAUGAAGGCCUUCGGGUUGUAAACUGCUUUUGUACGGAACGAAAAGCCUCUGGUUAAUACCCGGGGGUCAUGACGGUACCGUAAGAAUAAGCACCGGCUAACUACGUGCCAGCAGCCGCGGUAAUACGUAGGGUGCGAGCGUUAAUCGGAAUUACUGGGCGUAAAGCGUGCGCAGGCGGUGAUGUAAGACAGUUGUGAAAUCCCCGGGCUCAACCUGGGAACUGCAUCUGUGACUGCAUUGCUGGAGUGCGGCAGAGGGGGAUGGAAUUCCGCGUGUAGCAGUGAAAUGCGUAGAUAUGCGGAGGAACACCGAUGGCGAAGGCAAUCCCCUGGGCCUGCACUGACGCUCAUGCACGAAAGCGUGGGGAGCAAACAGGAUUAGAUACCCCAGUAGUCC